AUCUCCUUCUUCUUUCCUUUUUC
RNAcentral lists this non-coding RNA (23 nucleotides) under Arabidopsis thaliana (thale cress). The record is from RNAcentral. Lineage: Eukaryota; Viridiplantae; Streptophyta; Magnoliopsida; Brassicales; Brassicaceae.